UGUAAGCGUAUACCAAAGUUGUUGCAGUUAAAACGCUCGUAGUCGGAAUUUGGCAGUUCCGGAUGUGUGCACGUCGUGUGCGCACUUCGCGGGGAUUGCUUUUGUGGUCUUGCGUAGGAUGAGGCACUUUUAUUAGUGAACGUCCUCACGCAACCACUUUUUACUGUGAGAAAGUCAGAGUGCUCAAAGCAGGCAUUUGCCGUGAAUGUAUUAGCAUGGAAUAAUAGAAUAGGACUUGGUUCUAUUUUGUUGGUUUGUUGGGACUGAGUAAUGAUUAAGAGGGACAGUUGGGGGCAUUUGUAUUUCGGUGCUAGAGGUGAAAUUCUUAGAUUACCGAAAGACAAACUGCUGCGAAAGCGUCUGCCAAGGAUGUUUUCAUUGA
Molecule: ribosomal RNA, 382 nt
Filed under: uncultured eukaryote
Lineage: Eukaryota
Description: partial 18S ribosomal RNA
Rfam family: Eukaryotic small subunit ribosomal RNA
Source: RNAcentral